Molecule: ribosomal RNA, 481 nt
Filed under: uncultured bacterium
Lineage: Bacteria
Description: partial 16S ribosomal RNA
Rfam family: Bacterial small subunit ribosomal RNA
Source: RNAcentral
AUGAACGCUAGCGGCAGGCCUAAUACAUGCAAGUCGGACGGGAUUCAGGAGCUUGCUUCUGAUGAGAGUGGCGCACGGGUGCGUAACACGUAUGUAACCUACCUUUAUCAGGGGGAUAGCCUCUCGAAAGAGAGAUUAAGCCCGCAUAAAAUCACAGCACAGCAUUGUGUAAUGAUCAAAUAUUUAUAGGAUAAAGAUGGGCAUGCGGAACAUUAGCUAGAUGGCGGGGUAACGGCCCACCAUGGCGACGAUGUUUAGGGGAUCUGAGAGGAUGGCCCCCCACACUGGUACUGAGACACGGACCAGACUCCUACGGGAGGCAGCAGUAAGGAAUAGUGGUCAAUGGGCGGAAGCCUGAACCAGCCAUGCCGCGUGCAGGAAGACGGCCCUACGGGUUGUAAACUGCUUUUAUACGGGAAUAAACCCAGAUACGUGUAUCUGGCUGAAUGUACUGUAAGAAUAAGGAUCGGCUAACUCCGUG